AUUGAACGCUGGCGGCAGGCCUAACACAUGCAAGUCGAACGAGUGGCGGACGGGUGAGUAAUGUCUGGGAAACUGCCCGAUGGAGGGGGAUAACUACUGGAACCGGUAGCUAAUACCGCAUACCAUCGGAUGUGCACAGAUGGGAUUUGCUAGUAGGUGGGGUAACGGCAAACCUAGGCGACGAUCCCUAGCUGGUCUGAGAGGAUGACAAGCCACAGUGGAACUGAGACACGGUCCAGAGUCGUACGGGAGGCAGCGGUGGGGAAUAUUGCACAAUGGGCGCAAGCAUGAUGCAGCCAUGCCGCGUGUAUGAAGAAGGCCUGCGGGUUGUAAAGUACUUUCAGCGGGGAGGCGUUACCCGCAGAAGAAGCACCGGCUAACUCCGUGCCAGCAGCCGCGGUAAUAC
RNAcentral lists this ribosomal RNA (406 nucleotides) under uncultured bacterium. Its description in RNAcentral is "partial 16S ribosomal RNA". It matches the Rfam family "Bacterial small subunit ribosomal RNA", at positions 29 to 526 of the family's 1533-position model. The record is from RNAcentral.